RNAcentral lists this RNase P RNA (415 nucleotides) under Vicinamibacterales bacterium. Its description in RNAcentral is "RNase P RNA component class A". It matches the Rfam family "Bacterial RNase P class A". Rfam says of the family: Ribonuclease P (RNase P) is a ubiquitous endoribonuclease, found in archaea, bacteria and eukarya as well as chloroplasts and mitochondria. Lineage: Bacteria; Pseudomonadati; Acidobacteriota; Vicinamibacteria; Vicinamibacterales. The record is from RNAcentral.
GUAGACCGCUAGACGACCGCCGCGCCGGCGCGGGCAACCGCGCCGACGGGGAGGAAAGUCCGAACUCCGCAGGGCAGUGCGCCGGGUAACCCCCGGUCAGGGCCGACCUGAAGGAAAGUGGCACAGAAAACAUACCGCCACGAUGUCGCAGCCCUCACGGGCGUGCGUCGGGGUAAGGGUGAAAAGGUGCGGUAAGAGCGCACCGCGUCCGCUGUGAGGCGGAUGGCAGGCUAAACCCCGCACGGAGCAAGACCAAAUAGGGAGGCGUUACAGGACGGCCCGUCCGAAGCCUCCGGGUAGGUCGCUUGAUCCCGCCAGCGAUGGCGGGACUAGAGGAAUGGUCGUCAUCCCGGCGUGGUCGCUUUCGAGCGAUAGCGGAGGGACACAGAAUUCGGCUUAUGGCGCGUCUGCGACG